This 460-nucleotide ribosomal RNA is filed under the name uncultured bacterium. Its description in RNAcentral is "partial 16S ribosomal RNA". It matches the Rfam family "Bacterial small subunit ribosomal RNA", at positions 338 to 795 of the family's 1533-position model. The record is from RNAcentral.
CCUACGGGUGGCAGCAGUGAGGAAUAUUGGUCAAUGGACGAUAGUCUGAACCAGCCAAGUAGCGUGAAGGAUGACUGCCCUAUGGGUUGUAAACUUCUUUUAUAUGGGAAUAAAACGUUCCACGUGUGAGAUUUUGUAUGUACCAUAUGAAUAAGGAUCGGCUAACUCCGUGCCAGCAGCCGCGGUAAUACGGAGGAUCCGAGCGUUAUCCGGAUUUAUUGGGGUUAAGGGGAGCGUAGGUGGAUUGUUAAGUCAGUUGUGAAAGUUUGCGGCUCAACCGUAAAAUUGCAGUUGAAACUGGCAGUCUUGAGUACAGUAGAGGUGGGCGGAAUUCGUGGUGUAGCGGUGAAAUGCUUAGAUAUCACGAAGAACUCCGAUUGCGAAGGCAGUUCACUGGACUGCAACUGACACUGAGGCUCGAAAGUGUGGGUAUCAAACAGGAUUAGAUACCCCAGUAGUC